RNAcentral lists this ribosomal RNA (424 nucleotides) under Verrucomicrobiota bacterium. RNAcentral's name for it is "Verrucomicrobia bacterium partial 16S ribosomal RNA". It matches the Rfam family "Bacterial small subunit ribosomal RNA", at positions 355 to 776 of the family's 1533-position model. The record is from RNAcentral. Lineage: Bacteria; Pseudomonadati; Verrucomicrobiota.
UGAGGAAUAUUGGUCAAUGGACGAGAGUCUGAACCAGCCAAGUAGCGUGCAGGAUGACGGCCCUAUGGGUUGUAAACUGCUUUUGUUUGGGAAUAAUCGACAUUACGUGUAAUGUUUUGCAUGUCCCAUUCGAAUAAGGACCGGCUAUUUCCUUGCCAGCAGCCGCGGUAAUACGGAAGGUCCAGGCGUUAUCCGGAUUUAUUGGGUUUAAAGGGAGUGUAGGCGGUUGGUUAAGCGUGUUGUGAAAUGUAGAUGCUCAACAUCUGACUUGCAGCGCGAACUGGCUGACUUGAGUACACACAACGUAGGCGGAAUUCAUGGUGUAGCGGUGAAAUGCUUAGAUAUCAUGAAGAACUCCGAUUGCGAAGGCAGCUUACGGGAGUGUUACUGACGCUUAAGCUCGAAGGUGCGGGUAUCGAACAGG